GCGGCCGCCCACAUGAUGCGCAAGACGAGCUGCCUGCAGUACCUGGACGCCCGCAACACGCCCCUGCUGGACCACUCGGCGCCCUUCGUGGCCCGUGCCCUGCGCAUCCGCAGCAGCCUGGCAGUGCUGCACUUGGAGAACGCCAGCCUGUCGGGGCGGCCCCUCAUGCUGCUCGGUGAGCCCCAAGCCCGGGAGGGUGAGCAGGAUGUGCAGCCUGUGGGGGGGCAGGGGCCUGCCCAGUCACCGUGCCCCCUCCCCGUCCCCAGCCACAGCCCUGAAGAUGAACAUGAACCUGCGGGAGCUGUACCUGGCGGACAACAAGCUCAACGGCCUGCAGGACUCAGCCCAGCUGGGUAACCUGCUCAAGUUCAACUGCUCCCUGCAGAUCCUGGACCUCCGGAACAACCAUGUGCUGGACUCGGGUGGGUGCAGUGGCCCACCCCACCCACACCCGUCACCCAGCACCCACUCUGCCCGGCCCUGCGCUAGGUGGUGCUGGGGACACAGACAUGGCCAAGACCACCCCAACGCUGUCCUGCUGGGGCUCCCAGGAGGAAGACAGACCCGCCCUAGACAGUGACAACCUAGAGUGGGCAGGACUGGGCUGAUGGAGCCCAGAGGCGGGGUCCGAUCAGUCUGGGGGCCAGGGAGGGCUUCCAGGAGGAGGGGACAGCUCAGCUGACAGCCGCAGGAUGAGGCGAAGUGAAUAAUUACAAUCUGAAAAGAAAGCAGUGUUGCUGCCAUAACAGGGUCAGCUAGAGGCUGCUUUCAGAUGGGAGAGGAGGGAAGACCACCGUGGGGCGGGGCCUCUGGGCUUCCAUCCGGAGGCUGGGAGCAGAACCAGCCUUGUGAGAAGCCUGGGAAAGGGUCCAGACCGCGGGAGCAGUGAGUGCAGUGGGAGGAGCUCUGGUGUUUGAUGCUGGGGGGUUGAGCAGAGAAUGGGGAGCCGUCAAAGGAGGCGUUCCUGUUGCAUCCUGGAGGGGUGGGGUGGGUCACUGUGUCCCCAGGUGGCAGGCCCAGACCCCACUCUACUGAGCACCUGCCAAGGGCCAUGGCUGUCGGCCCCUGGGCUCAGCUUGGAGGGAGACACAGGGCUCUGCCCUUGGGAGUUUGUACUCCAGUCUAGAGAGACAAAGAUAAGAUGAGUGAAAUCUCCAGCCUGUCAGAUGGUGGGAUCUGCAUUGGAGGGAGACAGUGGUGACUGUGGGUGGGAGUGAGCUGGCUGUGAGGUGAGGUGGGCCAGAGGUGGUCACAUUUGAGCAAAGAUCAGAAGCAUCUGGGGUAGGCUGUCAUCCAGGCACCCAGGCCCAGGGGUCACAGAUGUGUGCCCAGGGGUGCCAGGCCGAGGCAGGGCUGCAGGGCAAGGCCUGGGCCUGCGGGGCCUCCAUGGAGGUCCUAAGCAGAGGGGGUUGCUCCUACCCUGCAGUCCCCUCCCCAGGAAGCACCCGGACCCCAGACGGGGCUCUGACUGCCGGCCUCCUCCAGGUCUGGCCUACAUCUGCGAGGGCCUCAAGGAGCAGAGGAAGGGGCUGGUGACCCUGGUGCUGUGGAACAACCAGCUCACGCACACAGGCAUGGCCUUCCUGGGCAUGACACUGGUGAGUCAGGCUGGCAGGGAAGGGAGGCACCUCGGUCCCCGCUGCCACCUCCCACUCCAGCUCUCAGCACAGUUGCCUCUAGCUGACGGCUCCUGUCCUGCCCAUCCUGCAGGUUCAAGACGAUUUAAAGUCAGCCCCACCUGCUUCCUCAUUCAGCUUCUGUGCCUGUUUUCCCUGAGGAGGAGCCCUUCUUUCAUUUUCUCCUUUUUUUUUUUGAGACCGAGUCUCAUCCUGUCACCCAGGCUGGAGUGCAGUGGCGCCCUCUAGGCUCACUGCAGCCACUCCAGCCCCCGCCUCCUGGGUUCAAGCCAUUCUUCUGCCUCAGCCUCCCAAGUAGCUGGGACUACAGGUGCCCGCCACCCCGCCUAGCCAAUUUUUUUAUUUUUUGUUUUUAUUUUUUUGAGACGGAGUCUCAGUCGCCCAGGCUGGAGUGCAGUGGCUCGAUCUCCGCUCACUGCAAGCCCCACCUCCUGGGUUCACACCAUUCUCCUGCCUCAGCCUCCCGAGUAGUUGGAACUACAGGCACCCACCACCACACCCAGCUAAUUUUUUUGUAUUUUUUUAGUAGAGAGGGGGUUUCACCAUGUUAGCCAGGAUGGUCGCAAUCUGACCUUGUGAUCCACCCUCCUCGGCCUCCCAAAGUGCUGGGAUUACACGCGUGAGCCACCGCGCCCGGCCUAAUUUUUGUAUUUUUAGUACAGACGGGGUUUCACCAUGUUGGCCAGGCCGGUCUUGAACUCCUGACCUCAAGUGAUCCCCCCACCUCGGCCUCCGAAAGUAUUGGGAUUAUGAGUGAGUCACCGUGCCUGGUUUUCAGUUUUUACGUGGUGCUUAAAGCAAGCCACUCAGGUACAGAGACUCUCAGGGCGAGCACUCGUGUGCUCAAACCCCGGGAUCGAAGAGCCGCCCUCCUUGGGGGCUUCAGGGCGCUCAAGGUCCAGGCCCUGGCCAGGGGCUCAGGCUGUGGGGGGUAGGGACUGACUGGGUGCCUGGGGAGCUGGGAGUGGACGGGGGACCUGGCAUUUGGGGAGACUUCAGGCACAGGAGGGACUUCAGGCCAGGCCUGAAGCAGGGCAGGAUGGCGCCGGUGUUCACGCAGGCGCGCGAAGGAAAAGGAGCGCCCGGGCCUGGCUCUCUUCCCGGCUUCUUUCUUGACUUGGCCUCCUGGGUCUCCUCCGCCAUCACGGCCUCCUCCUCACCCUCACACCCCCUCCCUCCAGCCGCACACUCAGAGCCUGGAGACGCUGAACCUGGGCCACAACCCCAUCGGGAACGAGGGUGUGCGGCACCUCAAGAACGGGCUCAUCAGCAACCGCAGCGUGCUGCGCCUCGGGCUGGCCUCCACCAAGCUCACGUGCGAGGGCGCGGUGGCGGUGGCGGAGUUCAUCGCUGAGAGCCCCCGCCUCCUGAGACUGGACCUUCGGGAGAACGAGAUCAAGACAGGCGGGCUCAUGGCACUGUCGUUGGCCCUCAAGGUGAACCACUCACUGCUGCGCCUGGACCUUGACCGUGAGCCCAAGAAGGAGGCGGUGAGCAGGGGACGGUCCUGCAGCCCUGGGGCGGGCGGAAGGCCGGGUGGUGGGGCCGGCCUGAGAGCCCUAGCCAGGCCCUCCCGCCACAGGUGAAGAGCUUCAUCGAGACGCAGAAGGCGCUGCUGGCCGAGAUCCAGAACGGCUGCAAGCGCAACUUGGUGCUGGCGCGGGAGAGGGAGGAGAAGGAGCAGCCGCCACAGCUGUCGGCCUCCAUGCUUGAGACCACCGCCACCGAGCCCCAGCCCGACGACGAGCCCGCCGCUGGGGUGCAGAACGGGGCACCCAGCCCGGACUCAGACUCAGACUCGGACUCGGAUGGGGAGGAAGAGGAGGAAGAGGAAGGGGAGAGGGACGAGACCCCCUGUCCUGCCCUGGUGCCCCCCACGGACUCCCUGGGCCCUGGGGACAGGAGUCCCCCAGGCAGCCCCUCCACACCCACUGAGCAGCGGAUUUCCGUGUCCAGCCCGGGCCGGGGCCACAAGGUGUUUGUGGUGACCCGGGUGGAGAGCCCACCCGAGAGGGCAGAGCCCCCUGCGUCCCCCACCCCUCCCUCUCCCCCACCCCCUCCCUCCCCACCCGCCUCACCUUCCCUACCACCAGCCGGGGCCAUUGACACCCGGGACACAGGGUCCUCUGAGCCUCAGCCACCACCGGAGCCGCCUCGGUCAGGGCCACCACUGCCCAACGGCCUGAAGCCUGAGUUCGCCCUGGCACUGCCCCCUGAGCCGCCCCCGGGGCCUGAGGUCAAGGGGGGCAGCUGCGGCCUGGAGCACGGUGAGAGGGGCCCUAGGGCAGGUGAUGAGGGGCCCUGGGUGCUGUAUGUGACCCCAGGCAAGCCCCUGCCUGCUGUGGGCCUCAGUUUCCCCCUCUUUAAAAUGGUUCUCGCAGGGGCCAGCAAAGUGGGGCUUAGUUCUCAUCUCCACCCUGCUUCCCUUGGGUCCUGGGAGCUCUUCCUGGGGUGGGGCAUGUAAAGUGUGCUGCCUUGAGCCUGACCAUCUCAGCGGUCUCUGGGCACUCUGCAGGCCCUGAGGGUCUGGCUGGGGCCGGGCUGGGGACAGGUUGUAUUUGCCCCACCCGCCUGACGGGGUUGCUGGCCCGUCCUCCCACACAGAACUGAGCUGCUCCAAGAACGAGAAGGAGCUCGAGGAGCUGCUUCUGGAAGCCAGUCAGGAAUCCGGGCAGGAGACACUGUGACACUUUAGGUGAGGCCAGGCCCGGGGCCCACAGCACUCGGGAGGAGCUGAGAGAGCCUCUGGCUCUGACAGUCUCUCCCCCAAUCUCUCCUUCCCAAGUUCCCUUUUUCCGGUCGGUCUGCGAUGAGCUGAGGCCAGAGCCAUGAGAAUCUGCUCACCUUCCCCCCAGCCUUCCUGAGGCCCAGGAUGCCAGGGGUGGGGGCCAUUCUGGGGCCCCCCUCCCCCCACAGCAACACUACAAGGGGUGCAGGAGCUACAGGGAGUGGCCCUCCGCGCGUGACUCAAGCACUUCUAUUUAUGAGCCCACCACUGGAAGACUCUGGGGGUGAAUGGGAGGAGGGGGAGCAGGAGGAGGAGGAGGUCUCCAAGGACAUCAGGCGCCUGUUCUGGAGGGGCCAGGCUUGCCCUGCGGAGGGCAGGCGUCCUGGGUGGUGGUGGGAUGGUCCCCUGUGGCCCCGGGCACAGGGCCAGGCAGGCAGCCUGGUGCCGGAGGGGCGGUGCGUGCUGGUGGUGGUUGAGAUGCGCAGAACAGCCCCAGACAGCGCAGGCCGGGCAGGGUGGGGGGAUGGGAGCAGAGGAUCAGAGCUUUCUUUUUCUCAAGUGCAAUAAAUCUAUCAGGGAGCUGGGGCGGGAGCAGCCGGCACUCCGGGACCCUGCUGUCCAGGCCACUGGAGGCUGCGCCCUGAGAGGCACUACAGCCCUUUGGGGGCGAGUGGCACGGGUGUGGGUGAGGGUGGGCAGAGGGCUGGGGCUACUCCUGUCGGUGCAACUCUGUUCACACCUUUUCUAAUAAACUGGGGCUGGGUUCACUUUGCCCAACGUCUGCUUCGUGCGGAUCCUGGAGGUGGUUGCUGGGGGUGGGCUGGGUGGAGGCCAUCACAGCUCCUGGUUACAGAGCAUCUGCCAGGGCACUGGUCAGGCAUUACUGCGUCUUCCCCCACAGUCCCGUCUAUUCUGCGUCCAUGCUCUGGUGUCUCGUACGGCCACCUCCCAGCCAGGCCAGUUUACACCCAUCCUUUCUGCAGGGUGAGACAGGCCCCAGAUACCUCCUGGCUUCAGGUCUAGGGUCUCAGGAUGCUGGAUAUGGAGUGGCUCUGCCCAGUCGCCCAUCGCUCAACAGGAACAGAUCCCAGCCUGUCCCUGGCAGCCCCGGGUGUUGUGCAGGUGGGAGUAUGCCCCGGGCCCAGCCAGCACUGCAGGAGCCUGGUGGGCGGCUUGUUCCCCUUUGCCAGCAGGGGCCUGGGGGGCCAUGGGGGGGCUGUUGCGGAUUUCUGAGAGGUCUGUUUUUCCCUUUAGGAAAGGGGGGAGCAGGCCGGGCGUGGUGGCCCACACCUGUAAUCCCAGCACUUUGGGAGGCUGAGGUGGGAGGAUUGCUUGAACCCAGGAAUUUGACACCAGCCUGGGCAAUAUGGUGAAACCCCAUCUCCAUAGAAAAUACAAAAAUUAGCUGGGUGUGGUGGCGUGUGCCUGUAGUCCCAGCUACUCAGGAAGCUGAGUUGGGAGGAUCGCUUGAACCCAGGAGGUUGAGGCUGCAGUGAGGUGUGAUUGCACCACUGCACUUCAGCCUGGGCAACAGAGUGAGAUCCUGUCUCAAAAAAAAAAAAAAA
RNAcentral lists this small RNA (5930 nucleotides) under Pan troglodytes (chimpanzee). RNAcentral's name for it is "retained intron". The stretch from base 5770 to 5917 matches the Rfam family "Metazoan signal recognition particle RNA". Lineage: Eukaryota; Metazoa; Chordata; Mammalia; Primates; Hominidae. The record is from RNAcentral.